UUAGUUGCUCUGUUUCCCCUGUCUCUUGUCAGAUCAUUGUACGUCAAACCCUCCUGCAUGUACCUCUUGUUUCCCUGUGCCAGUGUCUCCAGUGUUUGCCUCAUUCGCACUCCGAUUCAAUGAGAGGCCCACAACUCAAUUCAGACAAGUCAUCUGAUUGGACAAGAGACGGUUCGACAACAGCAUUGAGGCUGCCACCAAAGCAUGACUGAAGGACAUGUUGAAACAUUCUGACAAGGGUAUAAGACAAAGUUGAUAUGCUGAAGUAUCAGAGUGUGACCAAAGAACUGAGCAAACUUUUAACAAGAUCUAAAGUUCACUUUGAGUAUCUGACAGGUUUUUCAUCGCCCAAGGACUUCGAUGCAACUUCUUCUGUGUUUUGAAUAAAAUAAGCCAUUUCAAAGAUCCGUCAUACAUG
Molecule: long non-coding RNA, 418 nt
Organism: Notolabrus celidotus (New Zealand spotty)
Lineage: Eukaryota; Metazoa; Chordata; Actinopteri; Labriformes; Labridae
Exons: 2
Source: RefSeq, a predicted model, not a curated record